CCAAUAGCGUAUAUUAAAGUUGUUGCAGUUAAAAAGCUCGUAGUUGAAUUUCGGGAUUGACGUGAUGGUCGUGCCUUAAGGGGUAUGAACUGUUGCUGUUGAUUUCUCACCUUCUGGAGAAACUUGAUGUCCUUAAUUGGGUGUCUUGCGGAUCCAGGACCUUUACCUUGAAAAAAUUAGAGUGUUUAAAGCAGGCAUUUUGCUCGAAUACAUUAGCAUGGAAUAAUAGAAUAGGACGGCAUGGUUCUAUUUUGUUGGUUUCUAGGAUCACCGUAAUGAUUAAUAGGGAUAGUUGGGGGCAUUAGUAUUCAAUUGUCAGAGGUGAAAUUCUUUGAUUUAUUGAAGACUAACUACUGCGAAAGCAUUUGCCAAGGAUGUUUUCAUUAAUCAAGAACGAAAGUUAGGGGAUCGAAGACGAUCAGAUACCGUCGUAGUCUUAACCAUAAACUAUGCCGACUAGGAAUCAGACGAUGUUAAUUUUUUAAUGACUCGUUUGGCACCUUACG
RNAcentral lists this ribosomal RNA (506 nucleotides) under uncultured Glomeromycotina. RNAcentral's name for it is "partial small subunit ribosomal RNA". It matches the Rfam family "Eukaryotic small subunit ribosomal RNA", at positions 591 to 1092 of the family's 1831-position model. The record is from RNAcentral. Lineage: Eukaryota; Fungi; Glomeromycota.